AUUGGGUCUACCCGAAGGCGGUGCGCCAACCUGCAAAGGGGGCGGCCGACCACGUAGGCUCAGUGACUGGGGUGAAGUCGUAACAAGGUAGCCGUAGGUGAACCUGCAGAAGGAUCA
Molecule: ribosomal RNA, 117 nt
Filed under: uncultured eukaryote
Lineage: Eukaryota
Description: partial small subunit ribosomal RNA
Rfam family: Bacterial small subunit ribosomal RNA
Source: RNAcentral